Molecule: small RNA, 842 nt
Filed under: Pongo abelii (Sumatran orangutan)
Lineage: Eukaryota; Metazoa; Chordata; Mammalia; Primates; Hominidae
Description: processed transcript
Source: RNAcentral
AGCAGUCUCCUGUUUCUCCUUCUACCUUCUCCAUUUUUCUAGUCCCUGCAGGUAGGAUCCUGGGGGUUAACUCCCUUUUCACCAAGCUCCCGAGGGCCCUUGAUCCCUCAGCCUCUUACCUCAGCGGCUUUAGCACUUUCCCCUACAGCCCCGCCCCCAGGACCAGCCCGAGUGGCCGCGCUCACCACGACGAGGACGGCGGCGUGCUCGUGCCCCCACAGAGGGGGCCGGCGGCGAAGGCGGCGUGCGCGCGCCCGUGCUGUGGUGGGCGUGGCCGGGGCGGAGACGCGAGGAGGGGAGCAGAGAACGCGCUCGCGGAGAGGGAUUCCGGGUCCUUCGCUUCCUCGCCCUACCUUGGUUUACCUGCUGCUGCCUAGUCCUCUUCUCCUUCUCUGAUAAUUCGGGGCCUCGGGUUCCCUCACGAUAUUGCAGAAAGACACAGCUUUCCUCUUCCUCUACAAACCACCUCGAAGCAGGGACGUAAUUGGAAUAUCAUUUGGAGAAAGUGUCAUGGAAGUUCUGCGUCCACAGCUUAUAAGAAUUGAUGGCCGGAAUUACAGGAAGAAUCCAGUCCAAGAACAGACUUAUCAACAUGAAGAAGAUGAAGAGGACUUCUAUCAAGGCUGGAGUGCAGUGGCGUGAUCUGGGCUCUCUGCAACGCUCCAUGGAGUGUGCUGAUGAGCCCUGUGAUGCCUAUGAGGUGGAGCAGACCCCACAAGGAUUCCGGUCUACUGUGAAGGCCCCCAGCUUGCUCUAUAAGCAUAUAGUUGGAAAGAGAGGGGACACUAGGAAGAAAAUAGAAAUGGAGACCAAAACUUCUAUUAGCAUUCCUAAACCUGGAC